RNAcentral lists this transfer RNA (68 nucleotides) under Primeuchroeus sp. M48. RNAcentral describes it as "tRNA-Leu". The record is from RNAcentral. Lineage: Eukaryota; Metazoa; Arthropoda; Insecta; Hymenoptera; Chrysididae.
GUUAUUUUGGCAGAAAAGUGCUAUAAAUUUAGAAUUUAUGAAUAUGUUGAUUAAGAACAUAAAUAAUA